This 349-nucleotide ribosomal RNA is filed under the name uncultured Pelotomaculum sp. RNAcentral describes it as "bacterial SSU rRNA". It matches the Rfam family "Bacterial small subunit ribosomal RNA", at positions 1032 to 1382 of the family's 1533-position model. The record is from RNAcentral. Lineage: Bacteria; Bacillati; Bacillota; Clostridia; Eubacteriales; Desulfotomaculaceae.
AGACAGGUGGUGCAUGGUUGUCGUCAGCUCGUGUCGUUGAGAUGUUGGUUAAGUCCGCAACGAGCGCAACCCCACCGUUUAGUUGCUAACGCGUGAAGGCGAGCACUCUAGACGAACUGCCGUUGACAAAACGGAGGAAGUGGGGAUGACGUCAAAUCAUCAUGCCCCUUAUGCUCUGGGCUACACACGUGCUACAAUGGCCGGUACAGACGGACGCAAAGCCGCGAGGUGGAGCAAAUCCGAAAAAGCCGGUCUCAGUUCGGAUUGCAGGCUGCAAUUCGCCUGCAUGAAGUCGGAAUCGCUAGUAAUCGCAGGUCAGCAUACUGCGGUGAAUACGUUCCCGGGCCUU